CACUCAGUGAUUGCCAUCCUGGGUGAGCUCCUUGCUGCAUGGUUCUGCUCCUUCAUUAUUAUGGAUAGCAAAAAAAUUUACAAUUUUGUGGUUUCUUUUGAUUGAUGUGAACUAUAGGAUUUCAUUUUGAUUUGCUUUCACAAUUCUGCCACAUUGGGCUUGAAUCAGGUUUUGGUCAGUUAUCCAUGUGGUUAAAGCAAUAUUUUGAUUGUUUCAAUUCUAUUCUAUUCUUUCUACUCAAAUACUAGAAUCAGAUGACUUUU
Molecule: unclassified non-coding RNA, 263 nt
Filed under: Hevea brasiliensis (rubber tree)
Lineage: Eukaryota; Viridiplantae; Streptophyta; Magnoliopsida; Malpighiales; Euphorbiaceae
Source: RNAcentral